Long non-coding RNA from Sander lucioperca (pikeperch), 2692 nucleotides. RefSeq lists it as uncharacterized. The record is from RefSeq and is a predicted model, not a curated record. Lineage: Eukaryota; Metazoa; Chordata; Actinopteri; Perciformes; Percidae. The transcript is spliced from 2 exons.
CUCUCAAUGUUCUUCCGGGGUCAUUUGGGCUGGCUGUGUGACAAUUUAAGGGCUGUGGGUCACUGUUUUUACCCCUAGUUUUGGUUCUCUUUAUUGGAAAUCAGUUGAGAAAAUCUUUUAAAGAUAUUUUGGUCGAUCUCACCAUGUCUGAGAAUAAAUCUAGGGGUAAAAUCUGUUUUUCUUCUCUCAUAAUUUAUUGCUUUGGUUGAUUCAUUUUCAUCAUUUAUCCUAGUUAACUCACCCUCUCAAUCUCUUAUUCACUGUAUCACUGUUUUUCUUUAUGUGGUGUUCAGAUCAGAGUCUCUCCUGAUUAUUUUUACAUGCUGAAAUUGCAGUAUUUCCCUCUUGGUUUUUACCUCUGAGUCAUUUUAACAAGUUUCUCUUUUUUCAUUUAACAUUCAUGCACCAGAUGCUUGGCUGUAUAAUAAUUUAAUUUGAUCAGGUAGAAGUAUAGUGCAUGCUGCUCUGCUCUGAGUGUUUUUUCUCACAUAGCCACCCAAAUCCUGACCUGAAGAACAGCUUUUAUAGAUCUCUGGAAAUUGGGACACUGUCAUAACCAAUGAAUCCUGUCUUUAUCCCGCAAAAAAAGAAAAAAAACUCUCUAAAUUUAUCUCCCUGCUUGCUAAGUGUUCUUCUUAUUUAAGGUAUCUUUCAGUUGGCAAGAAAAUGAAUUUCUGUCUUUCAGAUUGGCUUCAGUUUGUUUACUAAAAGGAGUCUGGAUGUGAAAUUGGAUCUGGGAACAACAGGGAAUUGGAAGUAAUCAAAUAGAUAAACUAUUCACAGCUUUCAGGGGCUGCAGGAGAUGAUUCAGGCUAAUCCCCUCAGAUAAUCCUAACUCCUCCAUCAGUAAAUGGUUAUUUUGCUGAUGGCAAUUGAUCAUUUACUCUACCACCUAAUAAAGAAGUUCCUGUAAAAAGUCCCAAGUAAAACUACAAAACAGAAUACUGUUUGUGAAGUCCAUAUUUAUAUUUAGCAUUGAAAUUGAUCAGCAAUGUAUUUACAUGUAAAACAGACAUGAUUUGUAAAACAAUCUCUCUUUAUCUCAUGUUUUUGGAAAUCAAAACCAAGACAAUCUACUUUAAGUAGGUCAUAAUUUAAUCAGUCGUGUGAUUGAGCAAACAAACAUUUGAGAAAUAACCAAGGCUCAUAGAGACGUUGAGUUGCUAAGAGAGUAAAAAAAAGAAAGGAACUAAUUCCUCUUUUUCUUAACACUGUCCCUCUCACAUCUUCAAAAGCAGUAGUCAUUUUGGCAGUGGUCAGGAUUAGCUGUUAAUUAGCCUCAUUUUAAGGAUGAGACUUAGAAGGCUGAAUGAGAUGUGAGCUCACUCCGUUGUCCUGCUGAAUGGUGGGAGGAUUAUUCGAGCUGUGUCGUAAUCCUGUUAUUGUAAAGCAAGGCCACUCUCUGGACUCCUCCUGUCCCUUCUCUGGUUUUCUUCUCACUUUGCUUCCUUGCUUCUCCUUUUUCCUCCUACAUAACUGUCUGCAUCUUACUGCCACUCUUCUAUGUAUGCUGUGUUAUUCUCAGGGCCACACAGAAUCAUAUUUUUUUUAAUUUUUUUUAAUUAAACUCCGAAUGUUAACACAUCUCCAGCACAAGCAGAAAAACAGUCUAUUCCUGAUCACCCUGACAACUGUAAAAUAAUCCGCAAAUCCCAUUCUGUAGAUUAUUGAUGAUGUUACCUUACAGGCUGAAAGCAGAACCACUGCGAUACAGUUAAGCUCUGUAAAAGAACUGACUUCUGUUGUUUUGAUAAGUGGGCAAGUGGCACACUGCCUCCUUUAGGAUAAAAAAAUAACUGGCUCUAGUGUCUAGGCUACGUUCACUGUCUAGCAGAGGAGAAUGUGAAGGCAGGCUUGCAGUGGGUUGUUUUAUGCUCACCUUGAGCCACCGUCCAAAAUAGCUCAAGCAAAGGCCCCACCAGCAGCCAGCCCAAAUGAUGUUCCUCCAAGAGGUUCUCUGAGUUGGAAUGCUUUAUAUAGCGCUUUUAUUUCGCUGGGGAUCAAAUCGCCAACCCUGUAUUCAAAAUGCCGAAAAGGAAAUCAAUUAUGAGAACCCACUAAUUCAAGCCUACUGUUCAACCCAACACACUGCUAAGGAGGCAGAGUGACAAAACAUUGAUCCUUAGAACUUGAAAUAAUGUAUCUUGAGUAGUGUGUAUAGAUUUCAUGUUAGAUACCUGAACAGAAGAUGGUCCCCUAGUCACAUCUAUCUCCUCCAUAUCACCCAGAUUUUAGCACAAGAUUGACAGUUUAAAGAUUGACAGUGGAUGUCACUGAGGAGGCUGUAUUUAUAUUGUCACUGGUACAGUUAGUGUAUACUGUAUCGAUGGGCCUCUGCCAAGCUGGCUCUGCUUACUCUGAUUACUGGAACUUUCCUCUUGGCACAGACCCAUAUGUUUAUAAUUGCAAUUACACUCAGACCUCAGAGUGACUGAGGUUUUAUUUGCAGCCAGCAAGAGGCUGAGGACAUUCAAUAAAAAAUAUGAAAUAGAUUUUACUUGCUUUUAUAGGCCACAAACCCACGUGCUAUUACUUAACAUGACUGGCAGACUAUAGAUCCAGUCAAGCUCUGCAGUUGGUGCUGUUUAUAAUGUUAGAAAUUAAUUUGUUGUAGAUUCUGUGGUGUGAAGAGGACUUUGCAAGAGAAGAGUGCUCAUGAAAUGCAUUGCAGCUUGAAUUUUACAUAAAAAAA